RNAcentral lists this unclassified non-coding RNA (336 nucleotides) under plant metagenome. Its description in RNAcentral is "partial contains 5.8S ribosomal RNA, internal transcribed spacer 2, and large subunit ribosomal RNA". The stretch from base 1 to 104 matches the Rfam family "5.8S ribosomal RNA", at positions 50 to 154 of the family's 154-position model. The record is from RNAcentral.
GAAACGCGAAAGGUAAUGCGAACUGCAGAAUCAGUGAGUCAUCGAAUCUUUGAACGCACAUUGCGCCUCUCGGUAUUCCGGGAGGCACGCCUGUUCGAGCGCCAUUACAAACUCCAAGCGUGGCUUGAUGUUGGGCGAUGUCUUUUUGCGAGAGCGGAGACACGCCUGGAACGCGUUGGCGCCGCCGCCGGACCACGAGCGUAGCAAGACGAGAGUCAAUCGCAUCGAUUUGGAUUCCGACGGAGGUCCGCCAUGGGACUGCACUUUCGAGUGUAAGUUCACAACUUCUCUCAAGUUUGGCCUCGGAUCAGGCGGGGAUACCCGCUGAACUUAAGC